Molecule: long non-coding RNA, 203 nt
Filed under: Capsicum annuum
Lineage: Eukaryota; Viridiplantae; Streptophyta; Magnoliopsida; Solanales; Solanaceae
Description: long non-coding RNA (CANN_LNC004834)
Source: RNAcentral
UCCCGACUAGGUACUCUUUGGUUUGGUUUAAAGCUUUGUAUAGACAACUGUAGAGUUGGGAAUGGUAUGGAUUGGUUAUGUCAUAUAUAUAUACACAUAUUGGAUUAUUGUCCUGGUUUUAGUUUAUGGUUUUGGGUUGGGUUGGAUUAGUUGACUGUUGGUGGGAUUGACUAGGUUGGGUUGACCUCGGAUAUAGGCUUUUC